This 471-nucleotide ribosomal RNA is filed under the name uncultured organism. RNAcentral's name for it is "partial 16S ribosomal RNA". It matches the Rfam family "Bacterial small subunit ribosomal RNA", at positions 330 to 796 of the family's 1533-position model. The record is from RNAcentral.
CGUACACUCCUGCGGGAGGCAGCAGUGGGGAAUUUUGGACAAUGGGCGAAAGCCUGAUCCAGCAAUGCCGCGUGCAGGAUGAAGGCCUUCGGGUUGUAAACUGCUUUUGUACGGAACGAAAAAGCUCCUUCUAAUACAGGGGGCCCAUGACGGUACCGUAAGAAUAAGCACCGGCUAACUACGUGCCAGCAGCCGCGAUAAUACGUAGGGUGCGAGCGUUAAUCGGAAUUACUGGGCGUAAAGCGUGCGCAGGCGGUUAUGUAAGACAGAUGUGAAAUCCCCGGGCUCAACCUGGGAACUGCAUUUGUGACUGCAUGGCUAGAGUACGGUAGAGGGGGAUGGAAUUCCGCGUGUAGCAGUGAAAUGCGUAGAUAUGCGGAGGAACACCGAUGGCGAAGGCAAUCCCCUGGACCUGUACUGACGCUCAUGCACGAAAGCGUGGGGAGCAAACAGGAUUAGAAACCCUAGCCC